AGCCAGAUUAAAGUUACUGGGAAAUAUUUAGCAAAAUAAAUUCAUAUACAAUAAAACACAGAUAACAUUUUAAAAAUGAGACAAUAUGUGACCCACAGGGAUCUCUCUCUACAGAUUAAUGGUCUGUUUCCAUUUGAGUUUGACACCAUUGUCCUACAGCAUCCUAUUUUGCCCUUGAAGAUUCUGAUGUUUGGGAUACCCCUCCUUACAUGAAACAAAGGGAAGGCCAUGGAGCAUGGUGGAUAGAGAGCUGACCUUGGGACCAGGAAAGUAAAUCAGCAGAUAUGUGCCUGGGGUGAAGGACCAUCAAUUCAUCUGUGGAGGGGUGGCUGUGUCAACCCUGGAAUGCUUCAAGACUGCAAUGAGAAAGGCAGCAAGACCUCUCCUGCAUUGACAAAUGAUGACAAGGUGGACAAUGGAGGAACAUAGAACCUGUACUCUGGGGACUCUGGCAUUCCAGAGGAAAACUUUCCACUAGUACCACAGAAGAUGGAUGCACUCCAUUUCUGGAAAGCAUCUUAAAAAGAACAGAUCAAAACUCAAAAGACCAAGAGCAGAAGACAUAAUUGUAGUCAGAUCCCUCUGACAAUGAAAACCAUGUUCUGAAGUUACAUCAUAAUAGGAAUCUGGAAGAAUCAUGUUGUGCCUCAGUUUCCUCACUUUAAAAGUUGUUGCCCUCCUUCUAGGUCUGUGUAACACUUCACUUACAGCUUCCAACAGUUUGGAUAAUAGUGGAAAUAUGUGAAUAAA
Monodelphis domestica (gray short-tailed opossum) is the source of this 750-nucleotide long non-coding RNA. RefSeq lists it as uncharacterized. Lineage: Eukaryota; Metazoa; Chordata; Mammalia; Didelphimorphia; Didelphidae. The record is from RefSeq and is a predicted model, not a curated record.